GUCCAUGGCCAUACUACCCUGAACAAGCCCGAUCCCAUCUGAUCUUGGAAGUGAAACAGGGUCAGGCCUGGUUAGUACUUGGAUGAGAGACCACCAAGAAGACCAGGUGCUAUAGAUG
This 118-nucleotide ribosomal RNA is filed under the name Pteropus alecto (black flying fox). Lineage: Eukaryota; Metazoa; Chordata; Mammalia; Chiroptera; Pteropodidae. The record is from RNAcentral.